Molecule: ribosomal RNA, 460 nt
Filed under: uncultured bacterium
Lineage: Bacteria
Description: partial 16S ribosomal RNA
Rfam family: Bacterial small subunit ribosomal RNA
Source: RNAcentral
CCUACGGGAGGCAGCAGUGAGGAAUAUUGGUCAAUGGGCGGGAGCCUGAACCAGCCAAGUCGCGUGAGGGAAGACGGUCCUAUGGAUUGUAAACCUCUUUAGGCGGGGAGCAAUGCCGGGCACGCGUGCCCGGAGGGAGAGUACCCGCAGAAUAAGCAUCGGCUAACUCCGUGCCAGCAGCCGCGGUAAUACGGAGGAUGCGAGCGUAAUCCGGAUUUAUUGGGUUUAAAGGGUGCGUAGGCGGAUUUUUAAGUCAGCGGUAAAAUGUCCGGGCUCAACCCAGUAGGGCAACAGAUACUGCAAAGCUAGAGUAUGACAGAGGCAAGUGGAACUACAUGUGUAGCGGUCAAAUGCGUAAAUAUAUGUAAGAACACCAGUGGCGAAGGCGGCUUGCUGGGUCGAUACUGACAUUGAGGCACGAAAGCGUGGGGAGCAAACAGGAUUAGAUACCCUUGUAGUC